GAUGAACGCUGGCGGCGUGCUUAACACAUGCAAGUCGAACGAUGAUCUCCAGCUUGCUGGGGGGAUUAGUGGCGAACGGGUGAGUAACACGUGAGUAACCUGCCCUUGACUCUGGGAUAAGCCUGGGAAACUGGGUCUAAUACCGGAUACGACCGCUCCACGCAUGUGGUGGUGGUGGAAAGCUUUUGCGGUUUUGGAUGGACUCGCGGCCUAUCAGCUUGUUGGUGGGGUAAUGGCCUACCAAGGCGACGACGGGUAGCCGGCCUGAGAGGGUGACCGGCCACACUGGGACUGAGACACGGCCCAGACUCCUACGGGAGGCAGCAGUGGGGAAUAUUGCACAAUGGGCGCAAGCCUGAUGCAGCGACGCCGCGUGAGGGAUGACGGCCUUCGGGUUGUAAACCUCUUUCAGUAGGGAAGAAGCGAAAGUGACGGUACCUGCAGGAGAAGCGCCGGCUAACUACGUGC
RNAcentral lists this ribosomal RNA (468 nucleotides) under unidentified high G+C Gram-positive bacterium. RNAcentral describes it as "bacterial SSU rRNA". It matches the Rfam family "Bacterial small subunit ribosomal RNA", at positions 28 to 508 of the family's 1533-position model. The record is from RNAcentral. Lineage: Bacteria; Bacillati; Actinomycetota; Actinomycetes.